GACGAACGCUGGCGGCGUGCUUAACACAUGCAAGUCGAACGGAAGGGCCCUGCUUUUGUGGGGUGCUCGAAUGGCGAACGGGUGAGUAACACGUGAGUAACCUGCCCUUGACUUUGGGAUAACUUCAGGAAACUGGGGCUAAUACCGGAUAGGAGCUCCUGCUGCAUGGUGGGGGUUGGAAAGUUUCGGCGGUUGGGGAUGGACUCGCGGCUUAUCAGCUUGUUGGUGGGGUAGUGGCUUACCAAGGCUUUGACGGGUAGCCGGCCUGAGAGGGUGACCGGCCACAUUGGGACUGAGAUACGGCCCAGACUCCUACGGGAGGCAGCAGUGGGGAAUAUUGCACAAUGGGCGGAAGCCUGAUGCAGCAACGCCGCGUGCGGGAUGACGGCCUUCGGGUUGUAAACCGCUUUCGCCUGUGACGAAGCGUGAGUGACGGUAAUGGGUAAAGAAGCACCGGCUAACUACGUG
RNAcentral lists this ribosomal RNA (468 nucleotides) under uncultured bacterium. RNAcentral's name for it is "partial 16S ribosomal RNA". It matches the Rfam family "Bacterial small subunit ribosomal RNA", at positions 28 to 507 of the family's 1533-position model. The record is from RNAcentral.